Molecule: ribosomal RNA, 792 nt
Filed under: uncultured archaeon
Lineage: Archaea
Description: bacterial SSU rRNA
Rfam family: Archaeal small subunit ribosomal RNA
Source: RNAcentral
CGGCUCAGUAACACGUGGACAACCUGCCCUUAGGACGGGGAUAAACCCGGGAAACUGGGUAUAAUACCCGAUAGGUCUCGAUUGCUGGAAUGCAUCGAGAUUUAAAGCUCCGGCGCCUAAGGAUGGGUCUGCGGCCUAUCAGGUAGUAGUGGGUGUAGCGUACCUACUAGCCUACGACGGGUACGGGUUGUGAGAGCAAGAGCCCGGAGAUGGAUUCUGAGACACGAAUCCAGGCCCUACGGGGUGCAGCAGGCGCGAAAACUUUACAAUGCUGGCAACAGCGAUAAGGGAACCUCGAGUGCCAGGUUACAAAUCUGGCUGUCGAGAUGCCUAAAAAGCAUUUCAUAGCAAGGGCCGGGCAAGACCGGUGCCAGCCGCCGCGGUAACACCGGCGGCUCGAGUGGUAACCGUUAUUAUUGGGUCUAAAGGGUCUGUAGCCGGCCGGAUAAGUCUCUUGAGAAAUCUGGCAGCUUAACUGUCAGGCUUUCAGGAGAUACUGUCUGGCUCGAGGCCGGGAGAGGUGAGAGGUACUUCAGGGGUAGGGGUGAAAUCUUGUAAUCCUUGAAGGACCACCAGUGGCGAAGGCGUCUCACCAGAACGGACCUGACGGCAAGGGACGAAAGCUAGGGGCACGAACCGGAUUAGAUACCCGGGUAGUCCUAGCCGUAAACGAUACUCGCUAGGUGUCGGCCACGGUGCGACCGUUGUCGGUGCCGUAGGGAAGCCGUGAAGCGAGCCACCUGGGAAGUACGGCCGCAAGGCUGAAACUUAAAGGAAUUGGCGGGGGAGCAC